GUAGGGAAUCUUGCGCAAUGGGCGAAAGCCUGACGCAGCCAUGCCGCGUGAAUGAUGAAGGUCUUAGGAUUGUAAAAUUCUUUCACCGGGGACGAUAAUGACGGUACCCGGAGAAGAAGCCCCGGCUAACUUCGUGCCAGCAGCCGCGGUAAUACGAAGGGGGCUAGCGUUGCUCGGAAUUACUGGGCGUAAAGGGAGCGUAGGCGGAUAGUUUAGUCAGAGGUGAAAGCCCAGGGCUCAACCUUGGAAUUGCCUUUGAUACUGGCUAUCUUGAGUAUGGAAGAGGUAUGUGGAACUCCGAGUGUAGAGGUGAAAUUCGUAGAUAUUCGGAAGAACACCAGUGGCGAAGGCGACAUACUGGUCCAUUACUGAAGCUGAGGCUCGAAAGCGUGGGGAGCAAACAGGAUUAGAAACCCCAGUAGUCC
RNAcentral lists this ribosomal RNA (425 nucleotides) under uncultured bacterium. Its description in RNAcentral is "partial 16S ribosomal RNA". It matches the Rfam family "Bacterial small subunit ribosomal RNA", at positions 354 to 796 of the family's 1533-position model. The record is from RNAcentral.